RNAcentral lists this ribosomal RNA (406 nucleotides) under uncultured bacterium. Its description in RNAcentral is "partial 16S ribosomal RNA". It matches the Rfam family "Bacterial small subunit ribosomal RNA", at positions 30 to 526 of the family's 1533-position model. The record is from RNAcentral.
AUUGAACGCUGGCGGCAGGCCUAACACAUGCAAGUCGAGCGAGCGGCGGACGGGUGAGUAAUGUCUGGGAAACUGCCUGAUGGAGGGGGGUAACUACUGGAAAAGGUAGCUAAUACCGCAUACCAUCAGAUGUGCCCAGAUGGGAUUAGCUCGUAGGUGGGGUAACGGCUCACCUAGUCGAAGCUCCCUAGCUGGUCUGUGAGGAUGACCAGCCACACUGGGACGGAGACACGGUCCAGACUCCUACGGGAGGCAGCAGUGGGGAAUAUUGCACAAUGGGAGCAAGCCUGAUGCAGCCAUGCCGCGGGUGUGAAGAAGGCCGUCGGGUUGUAAAGCACUUUCAGCGGGGAGGCGUUACCCGCAGAAGAAGCACCGGCUAACUCCGUGCCAGCAGCCGCGGUAAUUC